This 254-nucleotide ribosomal RNA is filed under the name uncultured bacterium. RNAcentral's name for it is "partial 16S ribosomal RNA". It matches the Rfam family "Bacterial small subunit ribosomal RNA", at positions 1247 to 1500 of the family's 1533-position model. The record is from RNAcentral.
AAGCCAUGCGGCGACGCAGAGCAGAACCCGAAAACCUGUCUCAGUUCGGAUUGAAGUCUGCAACCCGACUCCAUGAAGCUGGAUUCGCUAGUAAUCGCGCAUCAGCCACGGCGCGGUGAAUACGUUCCCGGGCCUUGUACACACCGCCCGUCACACCAUGGGAGUCGGAAAUGCCCGAAGUCAGUGGCCCAACCGGAAGGAGGGAGCUGCCGAAGGCAGGUCCGGUGACUGGGGUGAAGUCGUAACAAGGUAAC